Molecule: ribosomal RNA, 388 nt
Filed under: uncultured bacterium
Lineage: Bacteria
Description: bacterial SSU rRNA
Rfam family: Bacterial small subunit ribosomal RNA
Source: RNAcentral
AACGAACGCUGGCGGCGUGGUUCAGGCAUGCAAGUCGAACGAUGGUGAGAGAAAUCGAACCAUAGUGGCGGAAGGGUUAGUAACACGUGGGCAAUCUGCCCUCGAGUCGGGGAUAACAUCUCGAAAGAGGUGCUAAUACCCGAUGAUAUUUUCCGGUCGCAUGAUCGGAUUAUCAAAGGUGGCGCAAGCUGCCGCUUGAGGAGGAGCCCGCGGCCUAUCAGCUAGUUGGUGAGGGUAACGGCCCACCAAGGCAUUUGACGGGUAGCUGGUCUAAGAGGACGAUCAGCAACAUUGGGACUGAGACACUGCCCAGACUCCUACGGGAGGCUGCAGUCGAGGAUCUUUAGCAAUGCCCGAAAGGGUGACUAUGCGACGCCGCGUGCAGGAC